CUUUACAAGUUUCUCAUGGCGCAUUUAUCUUUUCUGCUGUCAAUGGUGACUUUGAAAGAGACUGAAAAAAUAGACAUCCUCUCCAGGAUUUGAACCCUUGGCCUUCAUACUUGAUGUCUGAUGCCAUAUCCUGUAGACCACAUGAUCUACUACACUGAAGAAUUUCACGUAGCGCAUUUAUCUUUUCUGCUGUCAAUACUGAUUUUGAAAGAGGCUGACAAAAUAGACAUUCUUUCCAGGAUUUGAACCCUUGUCCAUCAUAGUUGAUGUCUGAGAGCAUAACCUGUGGACCACACGACCAUCUAAACUCUAGAAGUUUCUCCUGGCGCAUUUAUUUUUUGGGGUGUCAAUGUUGACAAAAGGUAAAAACAAGUAGACAAUCCAGAAAGCCUUUCAGAAUACCUGCCAGGACUUGAACUUAUGACCUUCCGGUUUGAGCACUGAUGACAAUCCCUCCACACCACAAGGACCGUCUCCCUUUUGACUUGUAGCGCAUUUAUCUCUAUUUACAAUCCUUAUUAAAUCUUCACUAUUUGCUCUUCCAGACAUUGAACUUGGACUUUUUAUGUUUGUAUGACAUAUCAGCUACUCUAUGAGAAUCUUCUCUUUUAUUUUGAUGUUUUCUCGUAUAGCGUUUGUGUUUUUAUAUACAAUUAUUGAUAAAAUAUAGAUAACUCUACUUGGAAUUGAAUGCUGGAUCAGAUGCUUUUCACACCACUCUUUCUAAACUUUGUGCUUUCUAAACAAGUUGUAUUAUGUAGUUUCACUCCUCGUCCAUGACUUAAUUUUUUUAUGUCCACCUUCAAAAGAACCAUAAAGCCAGAAACUUAAACACAGAGCAAUUGAAUCUACAAAUGGAAAGUUCUUAUAUUGUUGUAGCAAUGGUGACUUUGAAAGAGGCUGACAAAAUAGACAUUCUUUCCAGGAUUUGAAACCUUGUCCUUGAUGUCUGAUGCUUCUUAAUCUUGAAGUAGAAACUUUCUUUUCAAUAGACAUUUCCAACAGUGCCAAAUGGAGCCAGGAUGCCUUCCUAUUUUAGUCUUGGUACAUCUGUCGAUCUUCCAACAUCAUCCACAACAAGAAGAUCCAGGUCUUUGGGGAUCCAUCCCCACUCUCCUGGUGUUCGGUCUCCAUCUUGCUGUAGUACAUUUUUACACUGACUGAAACAUUGCAUUUGGAGGUUGCCACAACCAGGGUUUGAACCCACAAUCACAGCACUUUACUGACUAUGCCAACCAAUCUGCUCAACAAAUGCCUGUUUGUCUCUUAAGACUGUCAGAAAACUGAAGAAAAAAAGAAAAAACUUCACAAUGAUUUGUAACAAAUUGGACCAGUUUAGAUCUGUCUGUCUCUACUUCAGUCCACCUAAAACUCCUAAGAACCUUGUUCCUACACAUAAAGUUGCGUGUAAAAAGAGAUUUUUUUCAUGCCAGCCAGCUAUGCUCCCAGCAGCCUCUCUGUUGACAUAGCUUCCACAAUGGGAACUAAAGCCCUCCCAUUGUCAAUCUAACCCCAGGCAGAGUUACUACACUACUCUGUUGUCCAGUACAGGCCUAAAGCCUGGAUCUAGAAGUCUAACCACCCCCUCCUCAUGGAACCCAUGCUGCAUUGUUAAGCUUCAUUCUGGUCCUACAAUGGGACAUCGCACUUUGGAAGUCAUUCUCAAAAAGGAGAAGCCAAUCAAAAAUAAAGCCAGUUAUUGUGUCUCUUUUGACACACGUUGCUGAGCUGGCCCGACCUCAUUGGUCACCCUAAACCCCAGGGCUCAUUCAUGUUCAUUCAUGUCCAUUAUAUGAACAAAUUAAAUAAAACCCAGGAUGGAAGGGAAGCUUAGAAUCAGCCUGGGUUGAGAGGAACACACUGAGGAUGGAUGUACAGAGCUUUCUACAUCUCUAAUGGACUUAUUGAUCAAUAUUCAAACACAUCAAGAAGACAUGGACACCUUGUAAAAAUGAGACAGACCGACAGGUUGGACUGAUACAGAUCGCUUUGAUGUGUUCAUGGUGUGUUUGCGUUGGCCUGGACCGACCGCUCUCUGAGGGACUAUCAUUGCUGAUUUUAACUCUUGCUGACUGAAGGAGGAUAUGGAUUCUUCAAGAGAAAACUAAUGUGAUCCUCCAUAGUCGAGAUCCCAGGAGAAAACAGGAACACACAGAAUGGAUCAACUCAAGAUUAACAUGGACUGAUCUUCGAACUUUUACCAACCAAAAAAAAGAAAGCAUGUUCUUCAAUAAUGGACUAAGAACCUUCUGUCUUUUAAUAACUUAAAAUUUAGUAAGCUUAAAUGUACAUUUGUUGAAAGAAUUAAAAAGACAUUGUUUAACCUGCUUAUUAUUAUCAGGACAGGUAAGUUAAUACAUUACCAUCAAUGCUCCUUUUUACCCAACAGACUCCAAAAUAUGUUCAAAUAUUAAUUUAAUAUCUUAUUUAUUUUUGUUAAAACUAGGUCUGUGAUUCCUACAUCAGAAAAGCUUUAUUUCUGCUGCCACUUAUAUUUACCAUACAGCCAUCUAAACUAUUAUAUGUGUUUGCUGUUUUCACUUUAAUGGAAUUCGACAAACAUAGAGAGAAGAGAGCUGAUAAAUUAUUAGUUUAUAUUCAAUACAAUAAGUAGAGAACCAUUUCAUAGACUAACAGAAGUUUAACAAGGUGAUAUUAGAUGGUUAAAUUGUCUGGAUAUUUGUUCUGGUUACUAGCUUGCAGUCUGCUACUUCCCAGUUCUGAUGCUGGGAGUUUGGUAACUCUGGUUUCGAAAUAUUGUGAUCAGAAACAUCACAAAAGAGUCAAAUUACUCUGUUUUUAAAUUGAGUUGAAAGUGUAUUUGAAUUUUCUGCUAGUUAACUGAAUCAAUCUGCUUCGUGCCUCUGGCAUUUAAAAGUGACUUGGGAAAAUAUUUUAGAGGGCUUAAACUCAAAAUCUUUUCAAAUCUUGAUGCUGAGAACUAGUUAAUUUGAAAUCAUUGUCACCAAACCAGAUUCAUUUUCUAGAUCAAAGAUAGAAAAGUGUUCAUGAGCAGGAUACUUACUGAGAUAAACUCACUUCAAACUAUUCACUUGGACUAAUUCCUCUGUGUGUGUUUGGCAAAUAACUGUUGUUUAUCUCCAUUUAUAUGUUUAACUUUCAACUAAAUAAGCUUUUAUUAACACAGUCCUCUAAAAGUGCUGCUGCUGGCUUUCAUAAUCACUUUCAGUCAUAAUCCGCCAGCAGCCAGAAAUGAUGACAGAAAGUGAUAGACAGGAGCUAAAACAGGAAUAUAACAGAGCUAGAGCCUGUCACAGUGGUGUCCCUUUUUCUGUUCAGGAGUUGCACAAAGCCGUCAGCUCUGAAAGGUCAACCUGCUCUAGACCGCACUGUAAAUGAAGCAACCAAAGUGGCCCUGGAAUCCCAGAUGAAGUUGAUUCUCUUCAUCAGCUGUCAAUUGAUUCUCCUACUAAAUACCUCAACACUGAACACCAGAGACACGUGUGGUAUCCGACUCUUUCAGAGCAAUCACACAAUGGAGUCCUCUUAACGAGCAACGCAGCAGCUAAGGAGGAAAGUCCUCGCCAUGCCAACAUGGCUCACCGGCCUGCUGAGAGCCGAGCAGCACCUGACAGAUGCCACUUUGGGGGCAAAAUCCCAGAGGGCUCCAAAGAGCCGGUACAGGACUGAAGCCAAGGCAGCAGGAGACUGGAAUACCAAAACACGUUACAGUCAUAUGUAUUAAUAUGAUUGCUGAAAUUCAUUUAACUAUCCACACUUAAAGCUGCAGUAGUAAAGCAAAUGUUUUUUUACACAUUUGUUGUUAAGAUCAACUUUGCUUCCAGAGCAAUUAUUGCUGUCUCAAGAAAUGCACCACUCCUGACCAAAAACACCCAAUCAGAGCCAGAAUGAAGGUCUUAGUGCUGUCAAUCAGUCUUGUGUACUUGCUGCUAAAUGUGCUAAUGGCAGAGAAACAAUUUACCAUUAAAGGAAAAGUUUUCCCAUCAUCAUCAGAGGUUAUGCUAACUAGCCUGAGCAUUCACAAUAGGAUCUGCUAUCAAGAAGACACUGUAGCAUAGCAUAGAGCAAGAGAGCGGCGCUACAUGGAGAGUGACUAACAGCGCUAAGACACUCUCCCUGGCUCCGAUUGGUCAUUUCUAGUUGUAACUGGGAGAAGGCAGAGCAGCUCAAUUUGUUUUACAGAUUAUCAGUCUCAUGCCAUAGUGACAGUUUCAACAAAUAUGUAAAAAAAUAUUGUUUUAUAAAGGUCACACCCUGCAGUUUUAAGCUUAUAUAAUUAAGAAAUCACUUAAAUAUCACUUGUCAAGCAACAUGAAGUUGACCAAAAGAUUGCAUGUUAUUCUGCUGUUAUCUUCAUCAAAUUCAAGUACAGAUAAGAAACUGAUUAUGGGUUAUAAAUCCAUUUUAAAGGCUCAUCCAAAAAUGGAGAAAAUAUAAAACAAUGACAAUCCAGAGCUGAUUUGUGGCUUCAAGACCUGGGAAGCUCAUUAUAAACGAUGGAAUCAUUUAUUCUGCUCUCUACAAGAAACCCAAGACGCAGAAUGUCUGGCAUUCAGUUUGUGACCGUAAUCUCAAAUGUUGUGCAACAGUACAAUGAUCUAAAACACGGUGCUAAGUCCACCUCUCACUGGAUGAAAAAAAUGUUUUGGAGAGGCCUAGUCAAAGGCUGGAACUUAAAUCUGACCUUUAAUUAGCUAUUGAUGCUCAAAAUAACAAUGUGGUUGAAUUAAAAUAAUUCUGCAAGAAAAACAGAUCAAAAUAUUUAUACAAGGACGUUAAAAACUCAUUUGCAGUUUUUACCUCCAAGGUUUAGAGUGCAGUCACUUUUCAUCAAAGAGAAAAUCAUCAUUUGAAAUUUGCUUUUUAUAUUUAACCAGGUUAUCUUUGUCUGGUAAGAACAUUUUUCAUCUAAAAUGUUUAAGUGUGUCAAAAAAACACAAAUCAAAGAAAUC
Molecule: long non-coding RNA, 4934 nt
Organism: Xiphophorus couchianus (Monterrey platyfish)
Lineage: Eukaryota; Metazoa; Chordata; Actinopteri; Cyprinodontiformes; Poeciliidae
Exons: 4
Source: RefSeq, a predicted model, not a curated record